RNAcentral lists this ribosomal RNA (504 nucleotides) under uncultured Lachnospiraceae bacterium. Its description in RNAcentral is "bacterial SSU rRNA". It matches the Rfam family "Bacterial small subunit ribosomal RNA", at positions 8 to 507 of the family's 1533-position model. The record is from RNAcentral. Lineage: Bacteria; Bacillati; Bacillota; Clostridia; Lachnospirales; Lachnospiraceae.
AGAGUUUUGAUCCUGGCUCAGGAUCGAACGCUGGCGGCGUAGCUUAACACAUGCAAGUCGAACGAAGCACUUAGGAAAGAUUCUUCGGAUGAAAGCCUUUUGUGACUGAGUGGCGGACGGGUGAGUAACGCGUGGGUAACCUACCUCAUACAGGGGGAUAACAGUUGGAAACGACCGCUAAUACCGCAUAACCCCGCUAGUAUCGCAUGAUACAGACGGAAAAGAUUUAUCGGUAUGAGAUGGACCCGCGUCUGAUUAGCCAGUUGGCAGGGUAACGGCCUACCAAAGCAACGAUCAGUAGCCGGCCUGAGAGGGUGAACGGCCACAUUGGGACUGAGACACGGCCCAAGCUCCUACGGGAGGCAGCAGUGGGGAAUAUUGCACAAUGGGGGAAACCCUGAUGCAGCGACGCCGCGUGAGUGAGGAAGUAUUUCGGUAUGUAAAGCUCUAUCAGCAGGGAAGAAAAUGACGGUACCUGACUAAGAAGCCCCGGCUAACUACGUG